AGAACGAACGCUGGCGGCAGGCCUCAAACAUGCAAGUCUAGGGGGUGUAGCAAUACAUCACCGGCGGACGGGUGCGUAACGCGUGGGAAUGUACCUACUGGUUCGGAACAACUGCGGGAAACUGCAGCUAAUACCGAAUGUGCCCGCAAGGGGAAAGAUUUAUCGCCAGUAGAUCAGCCCGCGUAGGAUUAGCUAGUUGGUGGGGUAAUGGCCCACCAAGGCUCCGAUCCUUAGCUGUUCUGAGAGGAAGAUCAGCCACACUGGGACUGAGACACGGCCCAGACUCCUACGGGAGGCAGCAGUUGGGAAUCUUGGACAAUGGGGGAAACCCUGAUCCAGCCAUGCCGCGUGAGUGAUGAAGGCCUUCGGGUUGUAAAACUCUUUCGACGGGGACGAUAAUGACGGUACCGUAGAAGAAGCUCCGGCUAACUUCGCGCCAGCAGCCGC
Molecule: ribosomal RNA, 447 nt
Filed under: uncultured bacterium
Lineage: Bacteria
Description: SSU rRNA
Rfam family: Bacterial small subunit ribosomal RNA
Source: RNAcentral